RNAcentral lists this ribosomal RNA (480 nucleotides) under Triticum aestivum (bread wheat). RNAcentral describes it as "partial small subunit ribosomal RNA". Lineage: Eukaryota; Viridiplantae; Streptophyta; Magnoliopsida; Poales; Poaceae. The record is from RNAcentral.
AUGAGCGAACCUUUUCAGAACUGGUUAGGAAUGGGCGCCACUAUCCCAGCCCGGAUCCAACCAGGUUCUAUUGAUCAUGUCCCCUUCCCAACAAUUGUAUCUUGUCUUGGGGCGUCUUUUUUUGGCUUUACUAUCAAGCCAGACGCGGCGCCCUUUCGCAUUAUCAUCUACCGCCCUUUAUUUCCUCCCGUCCCUUCACACAUGAAGAUCGUCGUAUGUAUGUUCGACCAGAAGAAAAGCCGAUCCAUCGCACGCUGCAUUAGUUAUCGCAUAAUGCAGAAGAAAUCCUUAAAGAUUUUGCAACCUCUCGAACAGCUGACCAGCUCUCGCCGUAUCAUGGCACUCAAAUUUCGGCUUUCUCUACUGAGCGCUCGUCUGGAAGAACCGAGACGCAAUCGCAGUAGUUCUCUCUUUACUACCCUAGCCGAUAUAGCGGAACGUAGGGUAGCAAGCACAGGAGCCGGGCAACCCAACUAUUGA